This 531-nucleotide ribosomal RNA is filed under the name uncultured Acidobacteriota bacterium. Its description in RNAcentral is "bacterial SSU rRNA". It matches the Rfam family "Bacterial small subunit ribosomal RNA", at positions 376 to 896 of the family's 1533-position model. Lineage: Bacteria; Pseudomonadati; Acidobacteriota. The record is from RNAcentral.
CGAAAGCCUGACGCAGCGACGCCGCGUGGAGGAUGAAGGUCUUCGGAUCGUAAACUCCUGUCUAGUGGGACGAAAUCCGGGGAGGUGAACAGCCUUCCCGGGUUGACGGUACCGCUGGACGGAAGUCCCGGCUAACUCCGUGCCAGCAGCCGCGGUAAUACGAGGGGGCCAGCGUUGUUCGGAAUCAUUGGGCGUAAAGGGCGCGUAGGCGGCCGCACAAGUCGGACGUGAAAUCCCUCGGCUCAACCGGGGAACUGCGUCCGAUACUGUGUGGCUCGAGUCCUGGAGAGGGUGGCGGAAUUCCCAGUGUAGCGGUGAAAUGCGUAGAUACUGGGAGGAACACCGGUGGCGAAGGCGGCCACCUGGACAGGUACUGACGCUAAAGCGCGAAAGCGUGGGGAGCAAACAGGAUUAGAUACCCUGGUAGUCCACGCCCUAAACGAUGGGUACUUGGUGUCGCGGGUAUCGACCCCUGCGGUGCCGAAGCUAACGCAUUAAGUACCCCGCCUGGGGAGUACGGUCGCAAGGCUG